RNAcentral lists this ribosomal RNA (1343 nucleotides) under uncultured bacterium. RNAcentral's name for it is "16S ribosomal RNA". It matches the Rfam family "Bacterial small subunit ribosomal RNA", at positions 28 to 1378 of the family's 1533-position model. The record is from RNAcentral.
GACGAACGCUGGCGGCGUGCUUAACACAUGCAAGUCGAACGGAAAGGCCCUGCUUUUGUGGGGUGCUCGAGUGGCGAACGGGUGAGUAACACGUGAGUAACCUGCCCUUGACUUUGGGAUAACUUCAGGAAACUGGGGCUAAUACCGGAUAGGAGCUCCUGCUGCAUGGUGGGGGUUGGAAAGUUUCGGCGGUUGGGGAUGGACUCGCGGCUUAUCAGCUUGUUGGUGGGGUAGUGGCUUACCAAGGCUUUGACGGGUAGCCGGCCUGAGAGGGUGACCGGCCACAUUGGGACUGAGAUACGGCCCAGACUCCUACGGGAGGCAGCAGUGGGGAAUAUUGCACAAUGGGCGGAAGCCUGAUGCAGCAACGCCGCGUGCGGGAUGACGGCCUUCGGGUUGUAAACCGCUUUCGCCUGUGACGAAGCGUGAGUGACGGUAAUGGGUAAAGAAGCACCGGCUAACUACGUGCCAGCAGCCGCGGUGAUACGUAGGGUGCGAGCGUUGUCCGGAUUUAUUGGGCGUAAAGGGCUCGUAGGUGGUUGAUCGCGUCGGAAGUGUAGUCUUGGGGCUUAACCCUGAGCGUGCUUUCGAUACGGGUUGACUUGAGGAAGGUAGGGGAGAAUGGAACUCCUGGUGGAGCGGUGGAAUGCGCAGAUAUCAGGAGGAACACCAGUGGCGAAGGCGGUUCUCUGGGCCUUUCCUGACGCUGAGGAGCGAAAGCGUGGGGAGCGAACAGGCUUAGAUACCCUGGUAGUCCACGCUGUAAACGGUGGGUACUAGGUGUGGGGUCCAUUCCACGGGUUCCGUGCCGUAGCUAACGCUUUAAGUACCCCGCCUGGGGAGUACGGCCGCAAGGCUAAAACUCAAAGGAAUUGACGGGGCCCCGCACAAGCGGCGGAGCAUGCGGAUUAAUUCGAUGCAACGCGUAGAACCUUACCUGGGUUUGACAUGGAUCGGGAGCGCUCAGAGAUGGGUGUGCCUCUUUUGGGGUCGGUUCACAGGUGGUGCAUGGCUGUCGUCAGCUCGUGUCGUGAGAUGUUGGGUUAAGUCCCGCAACGAGCGCAACCCUUGUUCACUGUUGCCAGCACGUUAUGGUGGGGACUCAGUGGAGACCGCCGGGGUCAACUCGGAGGAAGGUGGGGAUGACGUCAAGUCAUCAUGCCCCUUAUGUCCAGGGCUUCACGCAUGCUACAAUGGCUGGUACAGAGAGUGGCGAGCCUGUGAGGGUGAGCGAAUCUCGGAAAGCCGGUCUCAGUUCGGAUUGGGGUCUGCAACUCGACCUCAUGAAGUCGGAGUCGCUAGUAAUCGCAGAUCAGCAACGCUGCGGUGAAUACGUUCCCGGG